AUUGACACCUCUGUGAGUAGA
RNAcentral lists this microRNA (21 nucleotides) under Macaca mulatta (Rhesus monkey). RNAcentral describes it as "mml-miR-514b-3p". Its record names the gene mml-miR-514b-3p. The record is from miRBase by way of RNAcentral. Lineage: Eukaryota; Metazoa; Chordata; Mammalia; Primates; Cercopithecidae. RNAcentral also lists the same sequence under 2 other names.